RNAcentral lists this ribosomal RNA (422 nucleotides) under uncultured bacterium. RNAcentral describes it as "partial 16S ribosomal RNA". It matches the Rfam family "Bacterial small subunit ribosomal RNA", at positions 359 to 773 of the family's 1533-position model. The record is from RNAcentral.
GAAUUUUGGACAAUGUUGGCAAUCCUGUUCCAGCCAUCUCGCGUGUGUGAAGAAGGCCUACGGUUUUUAAAGCAUUUAUAUCAGGGAAGAAAUGACUCUAGCUUAUACAUGUAGCUUCUGACGGUACUUGCAGAAUAAGAACCGGCAGACCACGUACCAGCACCCGCGGUAAUACGUAGGGUGCAAGCGUUAAUCGGAAUUACUGGGCGUAAAGCGUGCGCAGGCGGUUCGGCAAGAAGGAUGUGAAAUCCCAGGGCUUAACCUUGGAACUGCAUUCUUAACUGCCGGGCUAGAGUAUGUCAGAGGGGGGUAGAAUUCCGCGUGUAGCAGUGAAAUGCGUAGAGAUGCGGAGGAAUACAGAUGGCGAAGGCAGCCCCCUGGGAUAAUACUGACGCUCAUGCACGAAAGCGUGGGGAGCAAAC